GAGACAGAGUCGUGGCUUUCGUUCGUUUGCAACCAGCUGGUUGGGGGCAGCCAUGGGAGAACAGUGUUCUGUUCCACAGGCGCUCGAAGACAAAGCAAGAAUCAAACCCUUGAUGGUUUCAGAGGACAUGCCCCUGUAGGAAUCUCUCCAGCUCAUCGGGGGGCUCUGACCCUCAGUCGCCAUGGCUGAGAAAACCCAGAAGCAAAAACCCUAAAAAGCUUCUCCGCUCACAGGCUUUGAGUGUAUCAUUACUGUUACAAAACUGCAAAUACCCAAAUAGGCGAGCGACUCAGAGUGAGUUGAGAGAGAGAGAGAGCACGUUCGAUCGAGUUUACAAAGAAACAACACAGUGAGAGAUUUGGGAUCGGGAGAUUUCAUUUUUCUACAUCCUUCGACUCAGGCUCCCCCAUCUUUCUUGCUUGCGAAUAUUUGCAUCGUUGCUCUCCAGGUGACUGUUUGUGUGUGAAGAAAGGCUUGCGAUUGCCCUUGCUGCUGUUGUGGGACAGAGUUUGUGCCUUUGCGAGCUCUAACCGAAGCCGGGAAAACUGUUCUAAAGGUGUUCUUUUGUUGCUUUGAAUAGAGCAGUUUGGUUGGUGUUUUCAGCUAUGUUAAGCAGGAGGUGCUGUAUAACUGUUUUUUAGACUGUUUGGUAGCUCUUCCCAUUGCUGCUAGACAACAGGUUGGCUAUACAUCAAAACACUGUCAAAGAUGUAGCACAUGUGGCACUAAUGCUCCAGUUGGGGAUCACCAGGUUGUUCAGAGCCCUGUUUUAGAAUCUAGAAUGUCUUUAUUUUUCGCUCUUUUGAUUGUUGCUUAAUUUUAUUUCAAAUUGCUCCUCUGCAAAUGGUUGGUUGCAAGUCACAAUUAUGGGCCAUUGAACUAAUUUCCAGAAACAAAUUGACCACAUUGGAACUAAUUAUAUAGGGUUUGGUCGAUGUUUGGUUUUAUCGAAUUUGUUUUUUACAGAACAUUUGGUAUUGGUCUACACUGUCUUGCAUGCAUAUGGAUUUUGAAAUGAGUUGUGAUGUGUCUAUGUAGUUUUCUCUUUAUGGUGUUGUUUACUUUUCAACCAAUUAACAUGUGAUUCUCCUCUCAAGGAAUUUGAAAAGAAACCAGUCUUGAAUUCGUAUUGUCAUAUUUUCAUGUUUUCAUUUGUUUGUGUAACAGCUAGAUGCCCUUGCAAGAAACAUCAAAAAAGAAAAAUCCAUGUCCACCACCCAUUAAAAUAUAGAUAGACGCCUGUACAAGAUUUUUUGAACAAUAUGCAGCUCAAGGCUGCUCAUAUUUUGAUGUUCUAAUAGCUGCUUGAUAUAUUAAAAUAUGCAUAAUAUUUUUACGA
This is a long non-coding RNA of Prunus dulcis (almond), 1339 nucleotides long. RefSeq lists it as uncharacterized. The transcript is spliced from 5 exons. NCBI's taxonomy places the organism in Eukaryota, Viridiplantae, Streptophyta, Magnoliopsida, Rosales, Rosaceae. The record is from RefSeq and is a predicted model, not a curated record.